CCUACGGGUGGCAGCAGUGAGGAAUAUUGGUCAAUGGACGAGAGUCUGAACCAGCCAAGUAGCGUGAAGGAUGACUGCCCUAUGGGUUGUAAACUUCUUUUAUAUGGGAAUAAAAUGUUCCACGUGUGGGAUUUUGUAUGUACCAUAUGAAUAAGGAUCGGCUACCUCCGUGCCAUCAGCCGCGGUAAUACGGAGGAUUCGAGCGUUAUCCGGAUUUAUUGGGUUUAAAGGGAGCGUAGGUGGAUUGUUAAGUCAGUUGUGAAAGUUUGCGGCUCAACCGUAAAAUUGCAGUUGAAACUGGCAGUCUGGAGUACAGUAGAGGUGGGCGGAAUUCGUGGUGUAGCGGUGAAAUGCUUAGAUAUCACGAAGAACUCCGAGUGCGAAGGCAGCUCACUGGACUGCAACUGACACUGAGGCUCGAAAGUGUGGGUAUCAAACAGGAUUAGAUACCCCAGUAGUC
This 460-nucleotide ribosomal RNA is filed under the name uncultured bacterium. Its description in RNAcentral is "partial 16S ribosomal RNA". It matches the Rfam family "Bacterial small subunit ribosomal RNA", at positions 338 to 795 of the family's 1533-position model. The record is from RNAcentral.